Molecule: long non-coding RNA, 439 nt
Filed under: Elaeis guineensis (African oil palm)
Lineage: Eukaryota; Viridiplantae; Streptophyta; Magnoliopsida; Arecales; Arecaceae
Description: long non-coding RNA (EGUI_LNC023325)
Source: RNAcentral
AGCCCGACUUUAGCCGGCUCACCCAUGUGCAUCCCAUGGGUAGGUUCAUUAAUCAAUUAUUUCAUUAAAUAAUUUUUAGUAUUUAGUUUAGCCCCAGGUAACUUUUCAGUUGACUUUGGUCUUCUCUAUAAGCCUGGGUUAGGUCCAACCAUUAACAUGAUUAUACUUGUGAAUCUAACAAUCAAAUGAUUAGACCCGACUUUGGUCGGCUAACUUGACCAACUGUUAGAGAGACUCGACUAAGUCAUCAUAUUAUGAAUGAUAAUUCUAAUAGCAGAUCAGCACCAGGCCUUUGAGCCUCCAAUGAUCAUCAUACUAUUGGACCCACUAUCACCCAACUUAAUAGGAGGCUAUGAUUUAAUUAUCACCAUAACUAUCUCAUUUAAGAGAUCUAAUAAUUUAGAGAAUUUAAUUUUGAAUUAAGAAAAAAAAAGAGAAG